GCCUCUGUAGCUCAGUGGUAGAGCAACUGCCUUGUAAGCAGUAGGCCGGGGGUUCAAAUCCCCUCGGAGGCU
Molecule: transfer RNA, 72 nt
Filed under: Candidatus Woesearchaeota archaeon
Lineage: Archaea; Nanobdellati; Candidatus Woesearchaeota
Description: tRNA-Thr
Rfam family: tRNA
About the family: Transfer RNA (tRNA) molecules are approximately 80 nucleotides in length. Their secondary structure includes four short double-helical elements and three loops (D, anti-codon, and T loops).
Source: RNAcentral